CGCCCGUUAAAUUUCUGACGGGUAGAUUCUGCCCAAUGAAUUACUUAAAUGGCCGCAGUAUCCUGACUGUGCUAAGGUAGCAUAAUAAUUUGCCCUUUAAUUGAGGGCUAGAAUGAAUGAACUGACGAGGAAAUCCCUGUCUCGGGAGUUACAAAGAAAUUUAUACUCAGGUGAAAAAUCCUGAAUAGAGUAGAGGGACGACAAGACCCUAAAAGCUUUACUCCUUUCCCUUAGCUAGAUGUAUAAAAAUUAAGUUAAAUGAGUUUUUACUGGGGCGGUAACUUUAUUCAACUAGAGCAAUUGUAACACCUUGAGUGAACCUGAUAACCUUUAAUCAAAUCUUAAAUUAAAGUUACUUUAGGGAUAACAGCGUUAUUAUCUGAAAGAGCCCUUAUCGACCAGAUAGAUUACGACCUCGAUGUUGAAUUGAGGACUAAGCUAGAGCAGCAUCUAACUAAAAGAAGACUGUUCGUCUUUUAAACCCUC
This 486-nucleotide ribosomal RNA is filed under the name Ligia dentipes. RNAcentral's name for it is "partial large subunit ribosomal RNA". It matches the Rfam family "Archaeal large subunit ribosomal RNA", at positions 1924 to 2666 of the family's 2987-position model. The record is from RNAcentral. Lineage: Eukaryota; Metazoa; Arthropoda; Malacostraca; Isopoda; Ligiidae.